Molecule: ribosomal RNA, 460 nt
Filed under: uncultured bacterium
Lineage: Bacteria
Description: partial 16S ribosomal RNA
Rfam family: Bacterial small subunit ribosomal RNA
Source: RNAcentral
CCUACGGGUGGCAGCAGUGAGGAAUUUUGGUCAAUGGGCGCGAGCCUGAACCAGCCAUGUAGCGUGAAGGAUGAAUGCCCUACGGGUUGUAAACUUCGUUUAUAAAGGAAUAAAGUGACGCAAGUGAGCCUUUUUUUAUGUAUUUUAUGAAGAAGGAUCGUCGAACUCCGUGCCAUCAGCGGCGGUAAUACGGAGGUUCCGAGCGUUAUCCGGAUUUAUUGGGUUUAAAGGGAGCGUAGAUGGGUCGUUAAGUCAGUUGUGAAAGUUUGCGGCUCAACCGUAAAAUUGCAAUUGAUACUGGCAGUCUUGAGUACAGUUGAGGUAGGCGGAAUUCGAGGUGUAGCGGUGAAAUGCUUAGAUAUCACGAAGAACUCCGAUUGCGAAGGCAGCCUACUAAACUGCCACUGACAUUGAGGCUCGAAAGUGUGGGUAUCAAACAGGAUUAGAUACCCCAGUAGUC